CCUACGGGAGGCAGCAGUGAGGAAUAUUGCGCAAUGGGGGCAACCCUGACGCAGCGACGCCGCGUGAGUGAAGAAGGCCUUCGGGCUGUAAAGCUCUGUCAGCAGGGAAGAAGUGCCAGAUGGCUAAUAUCCAUGUGGUUUGACGGUACCUGCAGAGGAAGCACCGGCUAACUCCGUGCCAGCAGCCGCGGUAAUACGGAGGGUGCGAGCGUUAAUCGGAUUUACUGGGCGUAAAGGGCGCGUAGGCUGCCGAUCAAGUCAGAUGUGAAAUCCCACGGCUUAACCGUGUGAAGUGCAUCUGAAACUGGUUGGCUUGAGUACUGGAGGGGAAGGUGGAAUUCCCGGUGUAGAGGUGAAAUGCGUAGAGAUGUGGAGGAACACCGAUGGCGAAGGCAGCCCCCUGGGAUAACACUGACGCUCAUGUACGAAAGCGUGGGUAGCAAACAGGAUUAGAUACCCUGGUAGUCCACGCCCUAAACGAUGUCAACUGGUUGUUGGGAGAGUGAAAUCUCUUAGUAACGAAGCUAACGCGUGAAGUUGACCGCCUGGGGAGUACGGUCGCAAGAUUAAAACUCAAAGGAAUUGACGG
RNAcentral lists this ribosomal RNA (589 nucleotides) under uncultured bacterium. Its description in RNAcentral is "bacterial SSU rRNA". It matches the Rfam family "Bacterial small subunit ribosomal RNA", at positions 338 to 916 of the family's 1533-position model. The record is from RNAcentral.